GUAUCAUGGCUCAGAUUGAACGCUGGCGGCAGGCCUAACACAUGCAAGUCGAGCGGAUGAAGAGAGCUUGCUCUCUGAUUCAGCGGCGGACGGGUGAGUAAUGCCUAGGAAUCUGCCUGAUAGUGGGGGACAACGUUUCGAAAGGAACGCUAAUACCGCAUACGUCCUACGGGAGAAAGCAGGGGACCUUCGGGCCUUGUCGCUAUCAGAAUGAGCCUAGGUCGGAGUUAGCUAGG
This 236-nucleotide ribosomal RNA is filed under the name uncultured bacterium. Its description in RNAcentral is "partial 16S ribosomal RNA". It matches the Rfam family "Bacterial small subunit ribosomal RNA", at positions 14 to 249 of the family's 1533-position model. The record is from RNAcentral.